This is a long non-coding RNA of Passer domesticus (house sparrow), 1113 nucleotides long. RefSeq lists it as uncharacterized. Lineage: Eukaryota; Metazoa; Chordata; Aves; Passeriformes; Passeridae. The transcript is spliced from 3 exons. The record is from RefSeq and is a predicted model, not a curated record.
CCUUGGCCGCUGUGUUUGCAUGCUCUUCACCCUGCUCCUGCCCACUCUGCUUGUCAGCUUUCCUCAGUCCUGAAAGAUCCUUAGUGCCUGGAUUUUGUCAUCCAGCCCUGCAGGAUGCUCCCAUUUGUCCUGAGGAAGGCUGUCCCAGAUGGAGAAGAGGAGAUGGAGCUGGAUACCAAGAUUGAUAGAGAGGAGGAUAUGGAGACGGAGGGAGAAGACCCUGGGGAGGAGGAGAUGGAGGUGGAGGUGGAGGUGACGGUGGAAGAAGAGAUGGAUGUGGAUAUGGAAGAGUCCAUUGAGGACAUGGACAUUGAUUAAAAAGGUGCGAUGGACAUCAUGGAGGGAGAUGCCACCUUUUUGUACAUACGUUUUACACUUUGAUGUUGUCUUUAGGAUAUAGGUUUUAUGGUGUUUAUCUUCUGUAAAUACGUUUCAUAUAUUUUUUGUUAGAUAGGUUUUUAUGUAUAUAUGUUCUAUCGAUUGUUGUUGUUACAAAUAUUCUUGCAAUAUAAAUAUAUUCUGUAUUUUUGCUGCUGUUCUUCUCUAAUAAACAAAUUUUAUUUUUCACACCCCAGUUCUCCUUGCAUUUGCUUCAGGCACAGGCAGCAUAUUGCCAAGGUGUAGUUUCCACUUGCUCCAGGUUCCCAGGGCUGGAGGUCAGAAGUAGAUGAAGGGGAAAAAAUCCACAAUUAAGAGUGUCCAUGACACCCAGAGCCAAAAGAAGCCCAGGGAAGCACGUGCUCCAAACCACAGCAGAAAUGUAGUGAGAGCUCUGGAGGGAACAAAAGAAAGAGGAAGCUUGAAGAAAGGAAAAAACGUCUCCCCACAAGUUGUUUUGCUUUUUUUUCAUUGAGAGUCUCUUCUACCAUGUGGUGGAAACCCAGAAAAAUGAAGGUCAGAAGAAGCAUGGUUUAUUGGGAACAUUCCUGCAUUGUAGACAAUCCUUGUGCAAAUCAUUCCAUGCAGCACUCACAUAUUUAAUUGCUUCUCUUCCUGGGGAAGCAGAGUUGCUUAAUUUACUCCAAGCAAGAUUUUCUCCGUCCUCCCUGGCAAAGAACAAGCUCCCAUCCUGGCAAGUGCUCGCUGCUUUCCUUAACACUCAUCACACCCAUG